This 909-nucleotide ribosomal RNA is filed under the name uncultured Gammaproteobacteria bacterium. RNAcentral describes it as "bacterial SSU rRNA". It matches the Rfam family "Bacterial small subunit ribosomal RNA", at positions 8 to 916 of the family's 1533-position model. The record is from RNAcentral. Lineage: Bacteria; Pseudomonadati; Pseudomonadota; Gammaproteobacteria.
AGAGUUUGAUCCUGGCUCAGAUUGAACGCUGGCGGCAUGCCUAACACAUGCAAGUCGCACGCGAAAGGGGGCAACCCCGAGUAGAGUGGCGGACGGGUGCGUAACGCGUAGGAAUAUACCUGGUAGUGGGGGACAACCCGGCGAAAGCCGGGCUAAUACCGCAUACGAUCUACGGAUGAAAGCAGGGGACCGCAAGGCCUUGCGCUAUCAGAUUAGCCUGCGUCGGAUUAGCUAGUUGGUGAGGUAACGGCUCACCAAGGCAACGAUCCGUAGCUGGUUUGAGAGAACGACCAGCCACACUGGGACUGAGACACGGCCCAGACUCCUACGGGAGGCAGCAGUGGGGAAUAUUGGACAAUGGGGGCAACCCUGAUCCAGCAAUGCCGCGUGUGUGAAGAAGGCCUUCGGGUUGUAAAGCACUUUCGAUGGGGAAAAACAAGCCAGACCUAACACGUCUGGCCCUGAUGGUACCCGGAGAAGAAGCACCGGCUAACUCUGUGCCAGCAGCCGCGGUAAUACAGAGGGUGCAAGCGUUAAUCGGAAUUACUGGGCGUAAAGGGUGCGUAGGUGGUUUGUUAAGUCAGCCGUGAAAUCCCUGGGCUCAACCUGGGAACUGCGUUUGAUACUGGCAGACUCGAGUCUGGUAGAGGGUAGUGGAAUUCCGCAUGUAGCGGUGAAAUGCGUAGAUAUGCGGAGGAACAUCAGUGGCGAAGGCGGCUACCUGGACCAAGACUGACACUGAGGCACGAAAGCGUGGGGAUCAAACAGGAUUAGAUACCCUGGUAGUCCACGCCCUAAACGAUGGGUACUAGACGUUGGGAGGUUUAUCCUCUUGGUGUCGCAGCUAACGCAAUAAGUACCCCGCCUGGGGAGUACGGUCGCAAGAUUAAAACUCAAAGGAAUUGACGG